GACGAACGCUGGCGGCGUGCUUAACACAUGCAAGUCGAACGGUAAGGCCCUUCGGGGUACACGAGCGGCGAACGGGUGAGUAACACGUGGGUGAUCUGCCCUGCACUUUGGGAUAAGCCUGGGAAACUGGGUCUAAUACCGAAUACACCCUGCUGGUCGCAUGGCCUGGUGGGGGAAAGCUUUUGCGGUGUGGGAUGGGCCCGCGGCCUAUCGGCUUGUUGGUGGGGUGAUGGCCUACCAAGGCGACGACGGGUAGCCGGCCUGAGAGGGUGUCCGGCCACACUGGGACUGAGAUACGGCCCAGACUCCUACGGGAGGCAGCAGUGGGGAAUAUUGCACAAUGGGCGCAAGCCUGAUGCAGCGACGCCGCGUGAGGGAUGACGGCCUUCGGGUUGUAAACCUCUUUCAAUAGGGACGAAGCGCAAGUGACGGUACCUAUAGAAGAAGCACCGGCCAACUACGUGCCAGCAGCCGCGGUAAUACGUAGGGUGCGAGCGUUGUCCGGAAUUACUGGGCGUAAAGAGCUCGUAGGUGGUUUGUCGCGUUGUUCGUGAAAACUCACAGCUUAACUGUGGGCGUGCGGGCGAUACGGGCAGACUGGAGUACUGCAGGGGAGACUGGAAUUCCUGGUGUAGCGGUGGAAUGCGCAGAUAUCAGGAGGAACACCGGUGGCGAAGGCGGGUCUCUGGGCAGUAACUGACGCUGAGGAGCGAAAGCGUGGGGAGCGAACAGGAUUAGAUACCCUGGUAGUCCACGCCGUAAACGGUGGGUACUAGGUGUGGGUUUCCUUCCUUGGGAUCCGUGCCGUAGCUAACGCAUUAAGUACCCCGCCUGGGGAGUACGGCCGCAAGGCUAAAACUCAAAGAAAUUGACGGGGGCCCGCACAAGCGGCGGAGCAUGUGGAUUAAUUCGAUGCAACGCGAAGAACCUUACCUGGGUUUGACAUGCACAGGACGCCGGCAGAGAUGUCGGUUCCCUUGUGGCCUGUGUGCAGGUGGUGCAUGGCUGUCGUCAGCUCGUGUCGUGAGAUGUUGGGUUAAGUCCCGCAACGAGCGCAACCCUUGUCUCAUGUUGCCAGCACGUUAUGGUGGGGACUCGUGAGAGACUGCCGGGGUCAACUCGGAGGAGGGUGGGGAUGACGUCAAGUCAUCAUGCCCCUUAUGUCCAGGGCUUCACACAUGCUACAAUGGCCGGUACAAAGGGCUGCGAUGCCGUGAGGUGGAGCGAAUCCUUUCAAAGCCGGUCUCAGUUCGGAUCGGGGUCUGCAACUCGACCCCGUGAAGUCGGAGUCGCUAGUAAUCGCAGAUCAGCAACGCUGCGGUGAAUACGUUCCCGGGCCU
RNAcentral lists this ribosomal RNA (1340 nucleotides) under uncultured bacterium. RNAcentral's name for it is "bacterial SSU rRNA". It matches the Rfam family "Bacterial small subunit ribosomal RNA", at positions 28 to 1381 of the family's 1533-position model. The record is from RNAcentral.